Molecule: RNA transcript, 7059 nt
Organism: Ixodes scapularis (black-legged tick)
Lineage: Eukaryota; Metazoa; Arthropoda; Arachnida; Ixodida; Ixodidae
Exons: 5
Source: RefSeq, a predicted model, not a curated record
AACUUCUUUUUUUGUUUUUUUUCUGGGGGUGAAGACGGGUAUAGUUAUGUAUCUUGUUUAGACCACAUUCAAUGCUAUGUUUCAGAUUGCAACACAUUCCUUUUAUAACUACUUAUGUUCCAAGCUCUGUGUUCAACUAUUCUCGGUUGUAGGUCAUUGCAAAAAUACACUUUAGGGAACGUUUAUCUUCUGCGGUUGUCCACACCUGUGGUGCUUGUUUGCAAACACAGUGAGAUCGUUCGGCGCGCCCUGUUUCUACAGGCCGAUGUUUUCUUGGUUUGAUCGUUGGCAAGAGGGAGUGUUAUGGACACUUAAGCCGCCUUGUUUCCGUUGCAGGAAGUGGACGGGUGCUGAGCCGAUCGCCGAUGAAGCGGCGAUAAUGGGGCCCCUCGCCAAGUUGCUUUCAUCGCACUUGCGCAACUACGCGAGCUGUUGCCGUGCACGCCGACCCCCACCAGCAUAACUCAUCCCGGAGCAAGAAAGAACAAAGAAGCACGCAGGGCCGCCGUUCUUUUCCGGAACCAACAUGAAAUCGUACCACCGCCACCCGCCGCAACAAGCACCGACCCACCAAGAAGCGGACGAACCCGUUUUUCGGCCGCUGCGCCGCUUUAACUGGGUCCCCGUCCGCAAGAGGCCGCCACGCUACCACUCCCCUCUCGUCACGUGCUGCCGCACCAGCCAAUCGGCGCUCGCCGCUGGUGGCGCCCCGUGCGGCGGCUACUCGAACGACGCGUUCGCCGUCUGCUUCCGCUCAGAGCCUCCGGAGCACCCGAACGAGCGGGAGGUUGCCUCCGAUGGAGUCGUUCGUGUGAGUUCCGCGACUGACGCCAGUCGUCGAGCCCUAGGGCCCGUCGACUGCGGCCCAACCCUGGCCCGGCAGCGGAGCGGGCACCCCGGAGCCGCCGCGGGGUCGGCCACGGCGGCGACCAGGCUGGAACCGAGUCACCAAAGCCAUCACCACAGUCACCACCACCACCACCACGAAGUGCUGCCAGACAUCCUGAACGCGCAUUUGCCCCCGCCGUACGCUACCCUUCCGCAGCGGCGGCAUCUUCCGCCGCCUCCGCCGAGGCUUAGGCCUCCCCGAUGUGUUGUGGAUACCGAGGUCGUGGAGCCCAAGCACUGCUGCGGGGUUCUGGUGACGCAGACCGUGAGCAUCCGCUGGUUUAUCGUCAUGAUCGCCUUCGUCGGGCUGUGUUGUGCGAUCGUCGGUACGGUGCUCGGUGCGCUCAAGGCGACGGGGAGGGAGCAUCUGACCGUCUCGCUGCUCAUGAUCGGCGUGGGCAUCGUGCUGAUCACGGUCAGCGGCAUCGCGUGGCGGCUCACCUCGCACGAGGCGCCCUCGUGUCGGGCCAUGCUGGGGCUCAGGCCAGACGAGCCCAACCGGAGGUUCGUGCCCAGGGUCCCGCCCUACGGACGGCCCAACCACCCGUACGCCGCGAUGCUGUACCCGGAGUUCCAGUACAGGCCUCCGCCGCCGUCGUACCAGGCGUCGAUGCAGGAGUACCGGCUGCGGCUGCUGCUGCUGGACCGGGGCGGUCCCGCGGUGCCCCCCAGCGUGGUGCCCCUGGCCACCCCCGUGGCGGCCAGCGUGGUGGCUCCGACCCACCACGCGCCCGUGGUGCUCACCGCCACGCCCCUGUCGCCCGUCUCGCCGCCACCCACCUACCGGUCCGGCAUGCACACCAGGCCUCCGCUGACGUUUCCGACGGCAGAACGGGAACAGAGCCGACCCCCCAGCUACCGGUCCCGGACGAGUUCUGCGGGCGGAAUCCUGAGGUCCUGCGUGGGCGGUGACGUGUCCUGCAGCCAGGACACCCUGGCCACCGUCAGUCCGGCCUCCCCUCCCUCGUGCACCGAGUCCUGCAACGGCGUCCCGGGAAGCGGCGGCGGCGGCCUGCACAGCCGGAACCCGUCUCUGACCCUGAGCACCCUGUCCCAAGACGACGUCACCAGGGGGGUCACCCGGGACACCCCGAGCCCCCCCUGCAACGUGGGCAGGAGCGAACUGCUGAGGAAGAACCACGACGUGAACACGGUGACGAUCGUGCAGACGACGGACACGUCGCAGGUCAUCAACCAGGACACGGUGAUCGUGUCCGUGUCCGGACAGAACGCCAGGACGCUCGUGCUGCCGUCGGGACAUUCCGAGGUUCAGGUCACGCUGGCCCACGUGUGACCCCACGCGACUCUGGUGUGUGUGUGUGUGCGUGUGCGCGAUUACGCCUUUUGGGGCGACAGGUCAUCUGGAUGCCAGAUGCACCGCUGCGAGAGGUCCAGAUGUGAAUGCCCGUGAAGGUUUGGCACCCACCCUCUCUCUCUCUCUGGGCCAGGCAGGAUGACACUCCACCAGUUUCGCAAGUCAGCGCCCAGCACCAUUGUGAAUAUGUGUAUAAGGACAAGCAUAACGAUACAAGAAUCUGUGCAUAAGGACAACCGGACAAUACAAGAAUCUGUGCAUACGGACAACGAAGCGAGCGUUUUCUUUUUUUUUUUUUUUUCCGGGACCGCAAAACCUUCGAUGACUGACCAAGCAAGGAAAGCGACCUUCAAGGUUCUAGGAAGUGUUGCGUCUUGCGGUGUUCUCACUGCAGUAUUUUACGACUUCAGCGGCUGUCUAUAGAUAAGGUACAGGGAACUUCGUGUUGCAUUCUAAACCCACACAGUGCUUGAAACGCAAAAGUGAGCAGUCAAGGCUCGCACUUAACUGGAUCUUUUUACAGACCUGAAGUUUCUUCUCUGAAGUUAUUUCGUGGUUUAUUUUAUGAUUUAGACUUCCUUCAUUUAAGCGAAAUGAUAUGCGUUUGCGCCGUGUAAUUUUAAGAGGAUAAACAUCAAAAUCACGGAUCAUACGUUUCUCCCAGAUACAAAAAGAAAAAUGACGAAGUCCCCAUAAGAUCACAGAACUGCAAUGUCAGAAAGAUUGAGUCAUUUUCUGCAAUAACUACUCGCUCCUAGCAUUUAGUCGUAAAUAUGUUUCAUAUGGGGAACUGCGAUAGUGCAUUAUUUCUAUCUUAGUUAGGUACUCCGUUGAAGGAGGUGCUAGCUGCUAACCUCCAGUUUAAAAGUUAACAAAAAUUUCCUUAGCCAGAAUCAUCACAUAAUUUUUUUUUCAAACAAAUGGUGACAAGUACCAUGCUAGCGGCAGCGACUUGACAGAUUAAUUAACAUGCAUUAUUUCAUGGCAUUUGCGCAUUAUAGCAGUGCAACAAGCAAAACGUGUACCAGCAAUUCAAAAAUCGAUUGUUAUUCGCCCAGCAUUUUGCGUUUCGGAGGCUUUCACUAUGGCUACCUUGUUUAGCGACAGAUUAUGUCAACUGUUCUCACUCGGUUAAAAAACUGCCGAUUGUAAUUCAAACUUGUAGGCAAGGUCACAACGACUGAUAACUGCAAACUCCCCUUUAUUAGAGUUAGUUUUAUACAAUUUUUUUUUUGUAACAUAUUUACAGGCCUCCAGUUUAGAGCAUACAGACUUAUUCAAUAAGAUUUUCAUUUGUCAGCAUUCGUCAGCGUUUCAUAGUAGCUGAGAUUUUUCAAUAUCCUGUUAUUUAUCAAUUUGUUUUGUUACUAUUUGCGUAAGCUUUGUUUUUGUUAUAUUAACAGUUGCAAACUAAUGAACAUCAUCUAAAAGGGACUUGAGAAAAAAAAAAAAAAAAAACAUGUUGCGUCUUUCUGGGAAAUUGCAUCGACUUUAUCACAAGUGAACACUUACAAAUGCUGACGUCAAAGAAUUACGUUUGUUUGCGAUGUGCAACAUGCGAACACUUCUGUGUCAAUACGAGUAUUCUACAGACAAGUGAGUGGAGGUACGACUAGUGUACAUAGGCGAGAAGAUUGUUCCAAUGGCGUGACUACGCUGUGGUAUUCUGACGACGUUGUACAUAGCUACCUGGGAACAAGAUGUAUUGUGAAUGUCACCUCGGCAUGAAUGAACUAAUGUGUGUCCAAAGUGUGUGUGAAUGUGUGUGAGUUCAAGUGUUUUAUGAAUCGCUUAAGAUGUGAUCGUCGAACCCUGCCCACACGCAGUGAGGCUGCUGAGCAACAUACAAUUCUCAAGCGUACUGUAGGAGCAUGCUAUUAAAAACAAAUCUACUUAGCUGUUUUCCAAAACAAAUUCUUUAAUGUCUUUAGUUUAUAAUGCUUUAUUAGUAGGCUAUGCUAAUUAGUGGUUUGUUAGUUUCUACCAGUGAGGAACUAGAAGCUCCAGUAAUGUGUCUCUCCUUAGUUAUAUGCAGCAUUGAAACAUCAAUAGAAUAAUUAAUGUGAUCCCGGCUUUAGCCCUUUUCUUUAUUGGUGCCAUAAUAGAAGCCAUUAAUGUUAUAUUUUCCUCGGAUGUUAACUCAACUGUAAGCCUUUGAACACUGUUUAAUUUUGCGCUCUAAAGUAAAAAAUUAAGAAUUCAAUAGAAUGUUAAUAUACGAGAAAACAUUUUUGAACAUCAGAUACGUUGUGAAAAACCUUUUACAACGUUUUGACAUGCAAAAGCAAAGUUAGUUAUUUUUAUUAUUAGAAAUCUUAGCUUGUUAAUAGUGAAAUCAUGUUUCAAAGCUAAUUUCGGUGUGAAACAAAGAAAACCAAAGUGCAACGGAGAAACGCACUUGCGGGGAUAUUCCUCGAUGCAUUUCCUGCAGCUUUACAGCGCGCUUGAACGAACUCAUUUGCAUAUUAUAACGUGCAUGUUUUAUUCACACUUAGCUAGUCAUUUGAAGUCGUUGGUUCCGUUACAGCUCAGGGUGUGUGAUAAGACCCGUCGGCUGAUUACUUUUCCUGAAUAUUUUUAGACCCCCCCUCCCUUAUUUUUUCUAAUCGUGUCUUUAAUUUUAAAGGGCUACUUGAAGUGAUAUCUAUUCUACCCGCGCGUGCCAUGUGCGAGAUGCUCAAUCUUCGUUCUAAGCUCGAGCGAGACUCGGGAGUCGGUAAAAGCCGAAGUAACAUAUACUUUUCGAACCGUCGCUCUAUAACGAGCAAAACAUUACAUCUUAGAAAUGAAACGCACAAUUCUUAGUAAACGAGCUGACCAAUAAAAAAAAAAACGAAAAGUGGACACCUUCAUUUGAAUCGAUAGAUUGCAAAGGCGCAGUUUCCGAACAAAAAAGCUUUCCCAUGGAGUAUGAAUAGGAUUCCGCGUUUUCGGAGUUUAUUUCUCGUGAAAUUCGGAGGGUUUUUGUUUUCGAACUUCAUUUUUCUCUGAAAAUUCGGUGUUUAUUGGAGUUUACUUGUCUUGAAUUUCUCAUUCUUUAAAAUUGAAAGUUUAAUUUACUAAGUUCCCAAUUAUUAAAAAAACAAAAAUCCGGGUACCAUGACCCGUUGUUCCGAAGGGACCUUGACGAGCUAAGAGGCAAAAUCCUUUUGUCAGUAGUUCGAGACUUCCAAUGAAAAUGAAGUGGCAUUUCCUCAGUACCACUAACCCUGUGCUUUUAUAAAGUGUUUUUUUUUUUUUUUUUGGUCGUUGUGAUUUCUAAAGUAUGAGUUUUACGGGUAAAUCGGAUUUGAUGGACAAUUUACCGGCGAGGGAUUUAGAGAUUUUUUUUUCUCUCCAGGUUUAUUCGAAAACACGGAACCCUAGGUAUGUACACAAUCCGAGCAAGGAAAGCAACCUUCAAGGCUGGUUUCCUUGCUCAAGGCUGAAAAAUAUGUCUUAAGCACAUUUCGCGUGCCUAGGUCAUGUUCCGUGUUACAGCGCAGAGACUGUUUUCAGGGUCUAAAGGUAUUUUCAGUCUCCCCAUUCGGCGAGUUGCCUCCGUGAGUUGCAGCGAUUGGCUGUCCCGUUUGAUUUGCGAGAAAGUGGAUACACUGAGUUAGUUCGAGUGUAUCGUCACCGAGAGCCUGAAAAAACGCAGGGUAUGGCUUAUAUUAGGGUUUCUUGCUUUCGGCAAAUACCGAUAAAUACCGAAAAUGAACCCCCGUAACGGUUUUAUGGAACUCGGGGAAAAUGAAAAAUUUAUGAAUUGGGGCCGUCAUCGACUGAGAAAAGUCAGAGCUACGAGGAAGAAAAAUUAGUGUUUAGUUUCAUUUUACGUUAACCCUAAGUAGAACCCCCACAGAACUGUCCGUGAGGCUGUUUCAUUCUUCGAAACCACAUCGCCUAUCCCAUUUUCAUUUCUUUACGGCAUAAACACGUUCUCUCUAAGUAUUCAUAACGUGACCUAUGUUCUCCGAAGGUUGGGAAAUCCCAUUCCCGUGUCUUAUUUUCUGAAACGUAAAUCCCGAUAAACGCCGAUUUUUUUUUUUUUUUCUGACUCCGAAUAUUGACACUCAAAACCACCGAAUCUGUGGGAAAAAAAUGAACUCCGAAAAAGCACCCCCGAUAUUGAAGAAAAAUAAACCCCGAAAACAGGCUUCUCGCUUCGCGAUUGAUAGACAACUUGGGCGGUCUUGCCGGCCAAUGCUGCAUCCUCAUUGGCUGGCUGCUGAGCAGCCAAUGGGAAUGCUCGCUCGGGACAUUGCCACGCCCUGCGUUUUUUAAGCUGGCACGUGACCGUACAGGAGGCUGUGAAGAUUACCAAAAUACUGCAAAAGACACACACGACGCACCCAGAUAUGUGCUCAGUCUUACUGGCGACGCCAUGACACCAUUUUAGGCGAAACAGAUGUUUUUUGUUUUUUUUUCACGUGUUACCAACCUUGACUUCUUUCGCGAGGUUACAUAAACAUUAAGAUACGUGACACUUGAAGUAGCCCUUUAGAAGUAUAAAUAGACAGUGCGAAAACAACAAUGUAACGGGCCCAUAUGCUUAUGGCUGCAAUGUAUACGUAGAUUUUUUUUUUUUUUUUUUUUGUGAAGAUGCGUGACUGUGUCGUGUGCGUGGAUCCCGCCCUAGGAAAUAAAACACACAAAAAACAACUCGGUUGUCGCGUGACGACCGCCUAACCAGUAUACAUGUGUACUAUAAUAUCACCACUGCUGUUCUUUGAAUACGAGAUAUCUAUUUUAAUGUAUCAUACACCAUCCUUACCCCAGUUGGUGCGACAAAAAAAGAAAUAAAAUCCUUUUCCGUAGAUGGGAGGGGCAAAGGGCCCGCUCUUACGGGGAAGUAAAAUAAAAAUGCUUUGAAA